GAUGAAGAACGUAGCGAAAUGCGAUAAGUAGUGUGAAUUGCAGAAUUCAGUGAAUCAUCGAAUCUUUGAACGCACAUUGCGCCCCUUGGUAUUCCAUGGGGCAUGCCUGUUCGAGCGUCAUUUGUACCUUCAAGCUUUGCUUGGUGUUGGGUGUUUGUCUCGCCUCUGCGCGCAGACUCGCCUCAAAACAAUUGGCAGCCGGCGUAUUGAUUUCGGAGCGCAGUACAUCUCGCGCUUUGCACUCAGAACGACGACGUCCAAAAGUACAUUUUUACACUCUUGACCUCGGAUCAGGUAGGGAUACCCGCUGAACUUAAGCAUAUCAAUAAGCGGAGGA
This 337-nucleotide unclassified non-coding RNA is filed under the name soil metagenome. Its description in RNAcentral is "partial contains 5.8S ribosomal RNA, internal transcribed spacer 2, and large subunit ribosomal RNA". The stretch from base 1 to 120 matches the Rfam family "5.8S ribosomal RNA", at positions 35 to 154 of the family's 154-position model. The record is from RNAcentral.